CUGAGGUCGCUUUGAUUAAGAUUUGUUCCUCUUUUUUUUUCUAAUUCUUUCCGAGUUUUGGAUUGGUGGAGUUUGAAGCUGAUGAUUUGGGGUAAUGAGAGAGUAAACAAAACUUCUUAGAGGUAAAUUGGGGAAGGAAUUUGAGAAUUCGACGAGGAAUCGAGUUAUCAUUUGAUGCGUUAGAUAAGGAUUUGUCUUUUUCUUGUUUUUUUCCCCCCCUUGAUCUGGUUUGGUUCUAUUUUUGGCAAUUUUGGAUCUUGAAGAUUCUAAUAGGAAAAAUAGCUGAACAAGCAAAGCUUUACAUUUUCCUGCUUGAUUCGAUUUCAUUCAUCGCAAAGGAAGGCUAUCUGUUGCCGUUACGGAUCGUACAUUGUUCAAAAUUUGAGAGAAGUAUUAACGACUUGUCGUUUGGAAAGGAUAGUGCAAAAUGGAGAGAAAUGUGCAGGAUAGAAAGGAGUGAGAGAAAGAGUGGUGAAAUUGGGAAGAGAAGAGAAAGAGAGAAGGGGAUGGGAAUGGUAAACGGAAUGGUGAAAGGAGUAGAGAAGGUGAAGAGUAUAUCGAGAUCAAAAAUGAAGAUGUGGAUGAUACGCGCCACCACUUCGGUGUUGUUGUGGACAUGUGUCGUUCAAUUGACGACGAUCGGUGAGAUGUGGGGACCUAGGGUUUUGAAAGGAUGGCCCUCUUGUUUCUCGCAUGAAUCUGCUGCCGUCCUGGAGGAGAAAGUUCUCGCUGUGCCUGCUCGAGUGCUUCCACCGAAGAGAGCUUACAAGAACAAUGGCUACCUCAUGGUUUCAUGCAAUGGAGGUCUUAAUCAAAUGAGAGCUGCGAUAUGUGAUAUGGUCGCUAUUGCAAGAUAUUUGAAUGUAACACUUAUUGUUCCCGAGCUUGAUAAAACUUCCUUUUGGGCUGACCCCAGUGAGUUUCAAGAUAUAUUUGAUGUAGAACAUUUCAUUACAUCAUUGAGAGAUGAGGUUCGGAUAUUGAAAGAAUUGCCUCCUAGGUUGAAGAGGAGAAUGGAGCUAGGGAUGACU
This 1031-nucleotide unclassified non-coding RNA is filed under the name Hevea brasiliensis (rubber tree). The record is from RNAcentral. Lineage: Eukaryota; Viridiplantae; Streptophyta; Magnoliopsida; Malpighiales; Euphorbiaceae.